RNAcentral lists this ribosomal RNA (433 nucleotides) under uncultured bacterium. RNAcentral's name for it is "partial 16S ribosomal RNA". It matches the Rfam family "Bacterial small subunit ribosomal RNA", at positions 29 to 507 of the family's 1533-position model. The record is from RNAcentral.
AACGAACGCUGGCGGCAUGCCUAACACAUGCAAGUCGAACGAGACCUUCGGGUCUAGUGGCGCACGGGUGCGUAACGCGUGGGAACCUGCCCUUAGGUUAGGAAUAACUCCCCGAAAGGGGUGCUAAUACCGGAUAAUGUCUUCGGACCAAAGAUUUAUCGCCUUUGGAUGGGCCCGCGUUGGAUUAGCUAGUUGGUAGGGUAAAAGCAUACCAAGGCGACGAUGCAUAGCUGGUCUGAGAGGAUGACCAGCCACACUGGGACUGAGACACGGCCCAGACUCCUACGGAAGGGAGCAGUGGAGAGUAUUGGACAAGGGGCGAAGGCCUGAUCCAGCAAUGCCGCGGGAGUGAUGAAGGCCUUAGGGUUGUAAAGCUCUUUUAGCCGGAAUGAUAAUGACAGUACCGGGAGAAUAAGCACCGGCUAACUCCGUG